ACACCUGUGAGAAUGCCCUAAAACCUCCUUAUAGGAGAAAAGGAGCAGGCAUCAGGCACGCCCUGAAAAGCAGCCCAUAACGCCUUGUUCAACCACACCCCCAAGGGUCCGCAGCAGUAAUAAAUAUUAAGCAAUAAGUGAAAACUUGACUUAAUUAGGGCUUAAAGGGCCGGUAAAACUCGUGCCAGCCACCGCGGUUAUACGAGAGGCCCAAGCUGACAGCUAUUCGGCGUAAAGAGUGGUUAAAAUAAUUUUAGAUUAAAGUCAAACUCCCCCCUAACUGUUGUACGUAUUGGGAGGUAAGAAGUCCUUGUACGAAAGUAACUUUAACAAAUUGAUUCCACGAAAGCUAAGACACAAACUGGGAUUAGAUACCCCACUAUGCUUAGCCAUAAACUGCCUUACUCCAUUACAAGAGUACACGCCCGGGUAUUACGAGCAUAAGCUUAAAACCCAAAGGACUUGGCGGUGCUUAACAACCACCUAGAGGAGCCUGUUCUAGAACCGAUACCCCUCGUUAAACCUCACCCCUUCUUGCCUUUCCCGUCUAUAUACCGCCGUCGUCAGCUCACCCUGUGAAGGUUCUACAGUAAGCACAAUUAGAGUAUCUUAAAACGUCAGGUCGAGGUGUAGCAUAUGAAGGGGGAAGAAAUGGGCUACAUUUCCUGAUUUUCAGGAUACACGGAAUGUAUGUUGAAACACAUAUUAUGAAGGUGGAUUUAGAAGUAAAUAGAAACCAGUGAGUUCUGUUGAAGCCGGCCCUUAAGCGCGCACACACCGCCCGUCACUCCCCUCUCACCAACACUAAUACCUUUAACUAAAGCAAUAUCUGGACAUAGAGGAGACAAGUCGUAACAUGGUAAGUGUACCGGAAGGUGCACUUGGAAAAACAU
Molecule: non-coding RNA, 893 nt
Filed under: Plagiotremus tapeinosoma (piano fangblenny)
Lineage: Eukaryota; Metazoa; Chordata; Actinopteri; Blenniiformes; Blenniidae
Description: partial 12S rRNA
Rfam family: Bacterial small subunit ribosomal RNA
Source: RNAcentral